This 765-nucleotide ribosomal RNA is filed under the name uncultured Bacillota bacterium. RNAcentral describes it as "bacterial SSU rRNA". It matches the Rfam family "Bacterial small subunit ribosomal RNA", at positions 572 to 1337 of the family's 1533-position model. The record is from RNAcentral. Lineage: Bacteria; Bacillati; Bacillota.
CAGGCGGUGACUUAAGUCUGAUGUGAAAGCCCACGGCUCAACCGUGGAAGGUCAUUGGAAACUGGGUCACUUGAAUAUAGAAGAGGAAAGUGGAAUUCCAUGUGUAGCGGUGAAAUGCGUAGAUAUAUGGAGGAACACCAGUGGCGAAGGCGACUUUCUGGUCUAUUAUUGACGCUGAGGCUCGAAAGCAUGGGUAGCAAACAGGAUUAGAUACCCUGGUAGUCCAUGCCGUAAACGAUGAGUGCUAGGUGUUGGGGGGCUUCCACCCCUCGGUGCCGGCGUUAACGCAUUAAGCACUCCGCCUGGGGAGUACGGCCGCAAGGCUUAAACUCAAAGGAAUUGACGGGGACCCGCACAAGCGGUGGAGCAUGUGGUUUAAUUCAAAGCAACGCGAAGAACCUUACCAGCUCUUGACAUCUUCUGAAAGCUCUAGAGAUAGAGUGUUCCCUUCGGGGACAGAAUGACAGGUGGUGCAUGGUUGUCGUCAGCUCGUGUCGUGAGAUGUUGGGUUAAGUCCCGUAACGAGCGCAACCCUUGUUGUCAGUUGCCAGCAUUUAGUUGGGCACUCUGGCGAGACUGCCGGUGACAAACCGGAGGAAGGUGGGGAUGACGUCAAAUCAGCAUGCCCCUUAUGAGCUGGGCUACACACGUGCUACAAUGGAUGGUACAGCGAGUCGCUAAACCGCGAGGUCAAGCAAAUCUCCUAAAGCCAUUCUCAGUCCGGAUUGCAGGCUGCAACUCGCCUGCAUGAAGCCGGAAUCGCUA